UACAGAGGUCCCGAGCGUUGUUCGGAUUCACUGGGCGUAAAGGGUGCGUAGGUGGCUUGGUAAGUUUGAUGUGAAAGCUCAGGGCUCAACCCUGAAAUGGCAUUGAAUACUACUGAGCUGGAGGUUUGGAGGGGGGACUGGAAUUCUCGGUGUAGCAGUGAAAUGCGUAGAUAUCGAGAGGAACACCAGUGGCGAAGGCGAGUCCCUGGACAACACCUGACGCUGAGGCGCGAAAGCUAGGGGAGCAAACGGG
This 253-nucleotide ribosomal RNA is filed under the name uncultured bacterium. RNAcentral's name for it is "partial 16S ribosomal RNA". It matches the Rfam family "Bacterial small subunit ribosomal RNA", at positions 524 to 776 of the family's 1533-position model. The record is from RNAcentral.